RNAcentral lists this small nuclear RNA (107 nucleotides) under Chlamydotis macqueenii (Macqueen's bustard). The record is from RNAcentral. Lineage: Eukaryota; Metazoa; Chordata; Aves; Otidiformes; Otididae.
AUGCUCACUUUGGCAGCAGAUAUAUUAAAAUUUGAACAAUACAGAGAAGAUUAGAAUUGCCCCUGCACAAGGAUGACACACAAAUUCAUGAAGUAUUCUAUAUUUUA